UAACACGUGGGUAACCUGCCUGUAAGACUGGGAUAACUCCGGGAAACCGGGGCUAAUACCGGAUGCUUGUUUGAACCGCAUGGUUCAAACAUAAAAGGUGGCUUCGGCUACCACUUACAGAUGGACCCGCGGCGCAUUAGCUAGUUGGUGAGGUAACGGCUCACCAAGGCGACGAUGCGUAGCCGACCUGAGAGGGUGAUCGGCCACACUGGGACUGAGACACGGCCCAGACUCCUACGGGAGGCAGCAGUAGGGAAUCUUCCGCAAUGGACGAAAGUCUGACGGAGCAACGCCGCGUGAGUGAUGAAGGUUUUCGGAUCGUAAAGCUCUGUUGUUAGGGAAGAACAAGUACCGUUCGAAUAGGGCGGUACCUUGACGGUACCUAACCAGAAAGCCACGGCUAACUACGUGCCAGCAGCCGCGGUAAUACGUAGGUGGCAAGCGUUGUCCGGAAUUAUUGGGCGUAAAGGGCUCGCAGGCGGUUCCUUAAGUCUGAUGUGAAAGCCCCCGGCUCAACCGGGGAGGGUCAUUGGAAACUGGGGAACUUGAGUGCAGAAGAGGAGAGUGGAAUUCCACGUGUAGCGGUGAAAUGCGUAGAGAUGUGGAGGAACACCAGUGGCGAAGGCGACUCUCUGGUCUGUAACUGACGCUGAGGAGCGAAAGCGUGGGGAGCGAACAGGAUUAGAUACCCUGGUAGUCCACGCCGUAAACGAUGAGUGCUAAGUGUUAGGGGGUUUCCGCCCCUUAGUGCUGCAGCUAACGCAUUAAGCACUCCGCCUGGGGAGUACGGUCGCAAGACUG
This 801-nucleotide ribosomal RNA is filed under the name Bacillus mojavensis. RNAcentral describes it as "bacterial SSU rRNA". It matches the Rfam family "Bacterial small subunit ribosomal RNA", at positions 111 to 896 of the family's 1533-position model. The record is from RNAcentral. Lineage: Bacteria; Bacillati; Bacillota; Bacilli; Caryophanales; Bacillaceae.